UCCAAAGGAUCCACCUAAAGAAAACACCCCUUCAACGCCCAAAAAAUCUCCACCAAAACCUGCGAGUCCAAAACCAAAGCCACCAACCUCGUCACCACCUGUGGCCUCACCUCCACCACCAAAAGCCUCACCUCCCCCACCACCACCUGCAGCCUCACCACCACAACCUCUCGUCCGAUCUCCACCACCUCCAGUCCACUCACCACCACCACCAGUGGCCUUACCUCCACCUUCCGUCCACUCACCACCACCACCACCACCAGUGGCUUCACCACCGCCUCCGAUAGCGUCACCACCACCACCACCAGUGGCCUUACCUCCACCUCCCGUCCACUCACCACCACCACCACCACCAGUGGCUUCACCACCGCCUCCGAUAGCGUCACCUCCACCUCCCGUUCACUCACCACCGCCACCAGAGGCCUCACCUCCACCUCCAGUCCGCUCACAGCCACCACCACCAGUGGCUUCACCACCGCCUCCGGUGGCAUCACCUCCACCUCCCGUUCACUCGCCACCGCCACCAGUAGCCUCACCUCCACCUCCUCCAGUAUUCUCUCCGCCACCACCUAUCCACUCACCACCCCCACCCCCGCCUGUAGCCUCACCUCCACCUCCACCCACUUAUGAGGAUGUUGCUCUUCCUCCGUCAUUGGGCUCGCUAUAUGCAUCACCGCCGCCACCAAUUUUCCAAGGUUAUUAAGGGGUUCCACCAUUCUUAUUUUCAGUGGCACGAUAACUAGUUCAAAGAAUAUGUACAAAUCAAUCUGUAAACAUAUAUGAUCAUUGAAAAGUUCGUUUACAUUGCCAAUUUCAACGAUUCAUUGAGCUUUGUACAUUGUACACCAGAAAAUAUUGGAAAAUUUUUUCUUGGAUGUGCUGAUUGAACAAAAC
RNAcentral lists this long non-coding RNA (894 nucleotides) under Nicotiana benthamiana. RNAcentral's name for it is "long non-coding RNA (NBEN_LNC036340)". Lineage: Eukaryota; Viridiplantae; Streptophyta; Magnoliopsida; Solanales; Solanaceae. The record is from RNAcentral.